UACGGGGGGAGCAAGCGUUGUUCGGAUUUACUGGGCGUAAAGGGCGCGUAGGCGGCCAGCACAAGUCAGUUGUGAAAUCUCCGAGCUUAACUCGGAAAGGUCAACUGAUACUGUGCGGCUAGAGUGCGGAAGGGGCAACUGGAAUUCUUGGUGUAGCGGUGAAAUGCGCAGAUAUCAGGAGGAACACCAACGGCGAAGGCAGCUCGCUGGGACGGUACUGACGCUGAGGCGCGAAAGCGUGGGGAGCGAACAGG
Molecule: ribosomal RNA, 254 nt
Filed under: uncultured bacterium
Lineage: Bacteria
Description: partial 16S ribosomal RNA
Rfam family: Bacterial small subunit ribosomal RNA
Source: RNAcentral